GUGAAUGUCGUAGGCCUAUAUCUGUCAUACUGGUUUUGAGAGUGGUUAUAUAUGCGGUGUUUAGCUAUUCAUGUAGGUAUUAAUCCAGUUCCUGAAAAAUGCCACACUUGCGUAGACGCUGGGUUGAUUCAACAACGCAGGACAGCCUUUAUAG
Molecule: long non-coding RNA, 154 nt
Organism: Daphnia pulicaria
Lineage: Eukaryota; Metazoa; Arthropoda; Branchiopoda; Diplostraca; Daphniidae
Exons: 2
Source: RefSeq, a predicted model, not a curated record